AUUGAACGCUGGCGGCAGGCUUAACACAUGCAAGUCGAGCGGGGUGAUGGUGCUUGCACUAUCACUUAGCGGCGGACGGGUGAGUAAUGCUUAGGAAUCUGCCUAUUAGUGGGGGACAACAUCUCGAAAGGGAUGCUAAUACCGCAUACGUCCUACGGGAGAAAGCAGGGGAUCACUUGUGACCUUGCGCUAAUAGAUGAGCCUAAGUCGGAUUGGCUAGUUGGUGGGGUAAAGGCCUACCAAGGCGACGAUCUGUAGCGGGUCUGAGAGGAGGAGCCGCCACACUGGGACUGAGACACGGCCCAGACUCCUACGGGAGGCAGCAGUGGGGAAUAUUGGACAGUGGGGGGAACCCUGAUCCAGCCAUGCCGCGUGUGUGAAGAAGGCCUUAUGGUUGUAAAGCACUUUAAGCGAGGAGGAGGCUCUUUUGGUUAAUACCCAAGAUGAGUGGACGUUACUCGCAGAAUAAGCACCGGCUAACUCUGUGCCAGCCGCCGCGGUAA
This 503-nucleotide ribosomal RNA is filed under the name uncultured bacterium. RNAcentral describes it as "partial 16S ribosomal RNA". It matches the Rfam family "Bacterial small subunit ribosomal RNA", at positions 30 to 523 of the family's 1533-position model. The record is from RNAcentral.